AGUUUGUCCCUCUUUACCUACCAUAACUACGUACAAGUAUGGCGGUCUGAGAGUUGUGGCAGCUAUGUUUUGAUGGUGUAAAUAAUAUUUUUUCCCAUUUUCUAAACAUACUGUCCUUGGAAUUCGCAUUUAUCUUAAAAUAUAACUACAUUCCGACCACGACCAUCAUGGCUUCCACCUGUGACUCGCUCAUUGAAGACAUUGAAGACAUGGUGUCUUUUAGUGACCCCACUCCUCAGGAGAGACAGUCUAUUAGAAAGAGUAUCAUACCAAGGUCCAGGAAGAAAAAAGAGCUGAUGUGCAAUGAGGAGCUCCAAGCUGACAGUUUGAUCCCUGGCACCCAAAAGAUCUGGAUGAAAACAUGGGGCUGCAGUCACAACAGCUCAGAUGGAGAGUACAUGGCUGGACAGCUAGCUGCCAGUGGAUACAAGAUGACUGAUGACCCAACAGAAGCAGACCUGUGGUUGCUCAACAGCUGUACUGUGAAAAACCCUGCAGAGGACCACUUCAGAAACUCAAUCAAAAAAGCCCAGGAACAGGAGAAAAAGGUGGUAGUAGCAGGAUGUGUUCCCCAGGCCCAGCCACGGAUGGACUACCUCAAAGGACUCAGCAUCAUUGGGGUCCAGCAGAUUGAUCGAGUGGUGGAAGUAGUGGACGAGGCUGUAAAAGGCCACUCAGUUCGUCUCUUGGGUCAGAAGAAAGAUGGAGGCCGGAGGCUCGGAGGAGCUAGACUGGACCUGCCCAAGAUCAGGAGGAAUCCUCUCAUUGAAAUCAUCUCCAUUAACACUGGGUGUCUGAAUGCAUGUACCUACUGUAAGACAAAGCACGCCAGAGGAGACCUUGCCAGUUAUCCCAUCGAGGAGCUAGUGGAGAGAGCCAGGCAGUCUUUCCAGGAGGGAGUGUGUGAGAUCUGGCUGACCAGUGAAGACACAGGAGCUUAUGGAAGAGAUAUAGGGACAGACCUACCCACAUUGCUGUGGAGACUGGUGGAGGAGAUUCCUGAGGGAGCCAUGCUGAGGCUGGGUAUGACCAACCCACCAUAUAUCCUUGAACACCUAGAGGAGAUGGCUAAGAUAUUGAACCAUCCACGGGUCUAUGCCUUCCUUCAUGUUCCUGUGCAGUCAGCCUCAGACAGUGUACUGAUGGACAUGAAGAGAGAGUAUUGCAUUGAUGACUUCAAAAGAGUUGUGGACUUCCUCAAAGAAAGGGUCCCAGGUGUAACCAUUGCUACCGAUAUAAUCUGCGGUUUUCCUGGUGAGACAGAGGAAGACUUCCAAGAGACAAUAGAUUUGGUGAAAUGCUACAGAUUCCCCAGUCUUUUCAUCAACCAGUUCUACCCCAGGCCUGGUACACCUGCUGCCAAGAUGGAGCAAGUACCAGCACAUGUGAAGAAGCAGAGGACUAAAGAGCUGUCCCAACUCUUCCACUCUUACAACCCCUAUGACCACAAGGUAGGGGAGAGACAACAUGUGUUGGUGACAGAAGAGUCUUUCGAUGCCCAAUAUUACGUGUCUCACAACAAGUUCUACGAACAGGUGCUGGUACCUAAGAGGGCUGAGUUCAAAGGGAAGAUGAUCGAGGUGGACAUCUAUGAGGCAGGAAAACACUUCAUGAGAGGCCAGCCAGUUGAAGAUAGUAAGCCGUUCACUCCCUCCAUUGCUGCACCACUUCAGAAAGGGGAGGUGUCUGGCCUGAUGCAGGGAGUGUGGGAGCAGUGAGGUCUGGGAGAUCACGACCUUAAUUCUCUGCAAGACAGACGGUUUAAUUAACACUGGAGGAAUCCUCCCUGGCUCCAGACCUCUACAAUGGGAACAUUCAGGGGAAUUAGAUUGCCAAGGCCCCCUUCUUUGUAGUCCACGUUGCGAAUGGACCACCUCACAGGGAUUUUCCCCUUCACCAGGUGUGGCAGAAUGAGAGUGAGAGGGGAAAAUCACCUGGUCUAGACAGGACUGUCAGGGUCUGCCUGAAAACUUCUGGACUGUCAUGGCUGGGGAGAGGAUGAAAUGAACAAAAGAAAGGACAAUGGAAACAGAACAAAAAACAUGUGGUGUGAAAAAAAGAAGGAAUCUGUAAAUAAACAUAAAGAAAAGUGCUUUGUAUCUCUACAGAUUGCAUUUCCACAAGAACACAGGAACAGUUUGGCUCCCAGUAGGCAGUAGCAGGAGUUAUGAACCUCUACUGCUUGUUUCUUCGUCUUGUGCAUGUUGUUUACAUUGGUCGCACUGGGUUUCUUCCAGAUUCCCAUGUGCUGUUUCUUUCUGUUUUUCUUUCUUUCUUUUUUUUUCCCCAAAUAAGUCCAGCGGAUACACAUCAAUGCAGAAGUAUCAGUUCAGGCUGGUUCUUUUGAAUAUACAAAAAUUAAUGUCAGAUCCAAGUACUGGGAAAACAGUGCAAAGAGGGGAUACACACUCACUGGCCAGACGGUUAAUGUGAGAUACUUCAAGCAGAGUUUAGCUUUCUGUGUCUUAUACAAUACAAGAAAAGCAGAGGCAGCUCAAUUUAGUGGCUGCUAGGUUUUGAAUUUACAAUCCUGCAUCUUUGAAAUUAUAAUUUAUAAUGUACUUUACUAAGACUUACUUACUAAAACAGCAAAUAAAUUUUAAGAAAAACACAAUGCCUCCAAAUUCAGAUUUUUUUUUAGGAUAGAAUGACUUAUAUAAGAUAGGAAAAUUUAUUCUGGACAUGAGGAAAAUUUUUUUUAUGAAUGAUUUGUAUUUGUAAAGCUUACUGAAUUUUCUGUACUUAUUCAAUUCAUCCUCCUAAUGCUUGUAAUGCAAUAUCUGCUUGAGCAAUUAAAGCAUACUUAAUGUUUUUUAUGGCUAUACCAGGAGCCAACCCUCCCAUAAAAAUGGUGCAAUAGGUUGUUGUGCAAGCUGCUUAUUACAAUCCAUAGUUUCAUUUUAUUGUUAAGUGACCUCUUGCCCCAAAAUAAAAUGUUAAUGUUUGAGUGACAAAGCUCUGUAGUGGCUGUAGUAAUAAUGAAAGGAGUAAAGAAGGAAUUAAGGUGAUGUCAUUAUAUAGUAAAUCCACAUACAGAGAUGGUUGGGGUGGAGGGACAAAACAUCAGAUUUUGAGAAGCCACUAUUCAUUUUUCCAUUUCCAACUAAGAGUUGAUGUUGCUUAAUUUAACUAUGACCAUGAUCAUAUAACCUUAACCACAUGUUUAUUAUUGUAACCAUGACAACAAAGUUACUUAUUUUAACCAUAACCAUGCUCUUUCCUAACUAAGCCUAACUAAAUUAUUUUAUGCCUAAAUCUAACCAAGUGUUUACCAUAGCACUGUCAUGAAAGGCUUAGUUAGUUGAGGAUUUGGUAGUUACCCACAGGCAGUUUGUGCAAGGGGUGGCACGGCAGCAGAAUGAUACUAGGGGAAUUUGGGAUGCUGAAAACAAACUGGUUCCAGUGUUUUAGAUGAGUUGUAAGGUGAGCUACUCCCUUACCCAAAGCAUUGCAGCAGUAGUAGAAGCAAUGCAAAGAUGCAGGUAUCUACCAACUCUCUGAUCAAAAACAGACUUGUCAGAGAAGCAUCAGAGCACAGUUUUAGUUAAAUAUUUCUUAUUGUUAUUAUUUUCCCCCUCAAAGACAUUUUUUAUAAGCUGCAGCACAUUGAUUAUUAUGACAUGUGCAAACUCUAAAAUCUUACACAUUACUCUCAAGCUCUCACAUUCCCCCACCCACCCCCCACCCUCUGUCUCUCCUUCUGUCUGUUCCUGUGUGACAGAGUCAGUAACACCACAGCAGGAGGUGAAAGAGGGAGAGCUGGAGGCAGGAAGAGGGAGGUGGAGGGAGGGAGAAGGUGCAAAAGUGCAGCACAGAAUUACACUAGACAGCAGAAGAGAGCAAUGCAGAAACAAGUGACGCCGCAAAAAGGAGACAAAGGGAAAUAUUUUUUUUGUCUGAAUGUGUGACAGGGUUUGAGUCAAUCCCAAAUAACUGAAUGCAUGUGUGUGAGUCAUUGUGCAAAAAUUGUGUGUCUGGGCUUAUUUGUGUGUGCACACUGGGUGGGGUGCCAGGCAGCAGCAGCUGGGAAGGCCUUCCUCUGUUCUCCUGUCAUCAAUAAAUGAUCAUAGUGGGCCAUCUGGAGAGAGGGAACCACCAACCACCAGGACCUGGCACUGAACGAAAGACAGAGAGGAAGAGAGAAUGUGAAGAUAGACGGAGGGAAAAGCAGGAGAGAGAGGGAGAUGGGACAAAAAGUAAGAGAAGGGGGAGGAAAGAAUCUAUAGGAGAUGGAAGGUACCUAAGCAGAAAGGUGAGUAGAGAGAAGGUGAAAAGACACUAAAAGAGAGCAUGCAAGGGCUUUCUAGGUCCUGUAAUCCAUCAAAAAAAAAAAAAAAAAAAAACCCUUGGAAUUUGUCUUAAAUUGGUUUGGUUUGCCCUAACUAACUGAUUAACUACACACACUCGUCUCUGAAUGUAAGGUGGGAGUGAUUCUGAAAGUGUUUAGGUGAAUAUAAGGUAACAAAUUGGUCCAUCCUACAAAGACAUUAAAGAAAGCAGUUUAGGGCAGUUUAAAGCAAAGAACCUAAAACAAAGACGAAGAAAAAUAGAGACGUAAAACUGCGAAGAGAGAGAGAGAGAGAGAGAGAGACAGGAAAUGCAGAGAAGAAGACAGGCAAGGGAUGUCGUGAGAUGUCAGGAAGUGCUUAGGGCACUCUCCUGAUGUUGACCCUAAAGGCGGACAGACAUACAAACACACACACACACACACACAAAUUUGUGCAGCUAUCCUUGUUAGGACACUGCGCUGAAUUCCAUUCAUUGUGGACAGCCUAACACAAACCCUAACCCCAACCUUUACCUAACCUCAAUUCACACCUUACCCCUAACCUUUAACCAGGACCUCAGAAAUUAUAUUUUGCCUCAUUAGGACUGGGAUUUGGUCCUCAUGAUGACUACUGUUCCCUACAAGGUCUGUGUUUUUAUACAAGAAAAAGGUUCCAAAGAAGUAACACAAAUGCACACACAUAUACACACAAACACAAACAUACAGACAAUACUGUUAUUUUGAUUUGUCUCCUUUCCAGAGCUAAAAAAAAACACACAUAAAACGUAAUGACAGUUUGAAGUGUAAUCACUUACAUUACCAAUUUACAGAUUUUCUGUGGAGCUAUAUUUAUUUAAUUCACUUAGUGAGUGCCUUCACACUACACCCACAAUUGAGCUUAUUUCUUGUUGAAAGCACAGGCAUGGCAUAUGACUGUAAGCUGAGUGGAGGAAGCUAAGUUUCUGAAUUUAUCUGGUAUCCCUCCAAUCCCAGACAGACGAAAUAUGUAAGAAUUAAAUUCUCGCCAAAACCAAAGGGAGUUUUAUGGAGCUGUAGAAUAUCUAUUUGAUAUUUAAUACCCAUAUAUGUAUCCAGUCAUUUUAUUCAUCCAUUCAUAAAUUUUCCAUAUUGACUUAUUCCUAUUCAGGGUCACAGGCAGACUCUUGGCUAUUUGAGAAUAUACUGAGCAGAAGGCAAGGAGACAAAUUCAUGCACAUUCACACCUGUAGGCAAUUUGCAGCCUUCAGUUCACCUGACCUGCAUUUUUGUAGAUAGUGGGAGGACCCUUUUUAUGUUUCUUUGUGAACAUAAAAAUUCUCAACAUAUCGCUACAGCCAAUAAUCAUUCUCCUCUCACUCGACAUGCAUAAGCACCUCACUGUCUUGUUACAUCCUAGAGUCAUAUUUACCGGUUUAAAUUUUUUAAAUGAGUGGCUUACAUAUUGAUAAGUGUCAUUGAAUGACAUAAGUUCUAUUUUGUAUAUUGUACACCUUUAAACGGUUUUCACUGCAGACUCUACAUUCAGUUGUGACAUAUAGAUGGCUAAUAUAACGACAGGUCCAAAGAGAUUGACGUGUCAUAUUAUCAUGUAUAGAACACACAAAUAUGUGCUUGCAUUGUGUAUGCCUUCAUGUGUAUGAGUGUGCAUGUGAUUAAAAUUGUCUGUGUGUUGUCUCCUUGAGAGGUGUCUACAAUGCAUGUAUAAGGUAAUGUCCUCAAAAUUCCUGCAAGUGGCUCAAAAUUGUUAGUUCAGUUAAAUAACAUUUAUGUUACUUUAUCCACUGAUUAUUUUUUCUGGGAACUGGCCAAAUGAAGAUGCACAGGGUCUCACUGCAGUUGGUCUGACCUUCUUACAUCCACCACCCUCCAAUAUAUAAUGAUGGUAAACAAGCCUUCAUAUGUACUGUGUGUCUCACCUUACCAUUAUGUUUCACACAAUUCAAGCAAAACAGAGAUGUUACCAUUCUCUUUGCCAUAAAUUUCUUUGGAAAUCUACUAGUUAACACCAACUCUAAAGAUGACAGAAAUAUGGAACCUGCUACAUCAAAUUAUACAAUUUCUAGGUGUUAGAGAGAAUUAUUAAUCAAGGAAUAGGGGGAGUAGUUUACUAUCUUUCAGCUCCACCAGUAGCACUAAAUACUGUAACAUGUGUCUAAUGCAAGGACACCAUGUGGACUGCCCUUCAAUGAAAUGUUUUGACAGGCACUAGGGCAUUCACUGUCUCUCUCAACAGAAAGGCUUCAUCCAGUCUCCAUGGCAACUGAGGCAGAUUUAUUACAUUUAUUACAUUUUUGGGGGGUUCUGUACUUUAGCGUAUGCUAGAGAAACAAUAUACACUGCAGCUCAGACAGUAGAUUUACAUCAAAGUCACAUGUCACAAACUAAAAAGCAGAACCGUGGUUAACCAUUAUCAAUCUUGUAGAUUUUCUGAAGCAAAACUGUGCUGAUCAUAACACUUUUCUCAGAAUGUAAAUAUGUGGCUAUUGGAUGUAUUCAGCUUCAUUUAACAAAUUAUUAAAGUCAUAAAUCAAUUUGUAUUCUAUAUUAAUAUCAUAUUGUACUGUAUAUUCUAUUACUCAUUACUGUGUUAUUUUAUCUCUUUCAUCUGCACAUUGUAUUUUGUAAUAUCAUAUAAAUAAACUUGGCCAGGCAAAUUAUUGUGCUUUAAUACUAAUGUGUGGAUAUUUGUUCCCUACAUUGUCAUUUUAACAUAUUAAUUUUACAGUGGGCUAUGUCUUACCCUGGAGUUAAGACACUAAAUUAGGAUUUCAUAUUAAACAUCCCAGAGCCGUACUUACCAACAAACUACUCCCUCAGAAUGUGUUUGCGUGCUUGUAUGUGUACUGCCUAAAUGCAGCCAUAAUUUGAAUAUGCAUGGUCAUUUCAGAUUUAA
RNA transcript from Lates calcarifer (barramundi perch), 7160 nucleotides. It is a transcript of the gene named CDK5 regulatory subunit associated protein 1-like 1, with no coding region annotated. The record is from RefSeq and is a predicted model, not a curated record. Lineage: Eukaryota; Metazoa; Chordata; Actinopteri; Centropomidae. The transcript is spliced from 18 exons.